RNA transcript from Rhinopithecus roxellana (golden snub-nosed monkey), 3773 nucleotides. It is a transcript of the gene named IQ motif containing E, with no coding region annotated. The transcript has 24 exons. NCBI's taxonomy places the organism in Eukaryota, Metazoa, Chordata, Mammalia, Primates, Cercopithecidae. The record is from RefSeq and is a predicted model, not a curated record.
UGCGCACGCGCAUGGUCGCCCCAGGGGGAAGCGCAGGUUGCAUACGGGCCCCGCGGGUCGGCGGCCUGGUUGCCAUGGCAGCGGGGUCGCGGGCCGGCGCCAAGGAAGGUGCCGAAGGUGCGGGCGGCUAGGGCUGCCCACGGAGCCCCAGACCCGGACGCCCGAUCCCGCAGCCCUGAGGGGCGGUCGGGCAGCGCCGCCACCAUGUUCCUGGGCACCGGGGAGCCGGACUCGGAGACGGGAGAUGACAGUCUGUCUGCAGUCACCUUUGACUCUGACGUGGAGACGAAAGCAAAAAGGAAAGCUUUCCACAAACCUCCACCCACAUCGCCAAAGUCACCUUAUCUCUCUAAGCCAAGAAAAGUGGCCUCCUGGAGGUCCCUCAGGACGGCAGGGAGCAUGCCUCUGGGCGGCCGAGCGUCCCUGACCCCGCAGAAGCUGUGGCUGGGAACCGCAAAACCAGGAAGUCUGACCCAGGCCCUGAACUCACCCCUCACCUGGGAGCAUGCGUGGACCGGCGUCCCCAGCGGCACUCCCGACUGUCUGACAGAUGCCCUCAGAGUGAAGAGGCCACAUCUCAGGCGCUCUGCCAGCAACGGUCAUGUCCCUGGGACUCCUGUCUACAGAGAGAAAGAAGACAUGUAUGACGAGAUUAUUGAGUUAAAGAAGUCAUUGCACGUGCAGAAGAGCGAUGUGGACCUGAUGAGAACGAAGCUCCGGCGCCUGGAGGAGGAAAACAGCAGGAAGGACCGGCAGAUAGAGCAGCUCCUUGAUCCCAGCCGCGGCACAGAUUUUGUUCGGACUCUGGCAGAGAAAAGGCCCGAUGCCAGUUGGGUCAUUAAUGGGCUGAAGCAGAGGAUCUUGAAGCUGGAGCAGCAGUGCAAGGAGAAGGAUGGCACCAUCAGCAAACUCCAGGCUGAUAUGAAGACCACCAACUUGGAAGAGAUGCGGAUCGCCAUGGAGACAUACUACGAGGAGGUGCAUCGUCUCCAGACCCUCUUGGCAAGUUCUGAAACCACCGGAAAGAAGCCCCUGGGGGAGAAGAAGACGGGCACCAAAAGGCAGAAGAAGAUGGGCAGUGCCCUCCUGAGCUUGUCCCGGAGUGUCCAGGAGCUCACAGAGGAGAACCAGAGCCUGAAGGAGGACCUGGACCGCGUGCUGAGCACCUCCCCCACCAUCUCCAAGACACAGGGUUAUGUGGAAUGGAGCAAGCCCCGGCUGCUGAGACGCAUUGUGGAGCUGGAGAAGAAACUAAGUGUGAUGGAGAGCUCAAAACCACAUGCCACAGAGCCAGUCAGAUCACACCCGCCAGCCUGCCCUGCAUCCAGCUCUGUGCUGCACAGACAGCCACGAGGGGACUGCAACAAGGACCACGAGCGUCUCCGAGGGGCUGUGAGAGACCUGAAGGAAGAGCGGACCUCCCUGCAGGAGCAGCUGCUGCAGAGAGAUUUGGAGGUGAAGCAGCUCCUGCAGGCGAAGGCUGACCUGGAGAAGGAGCUGGAGCGCGCAAGGGAUGGCGAGGAGGAGAGGAGAGAGAAAGAGGAGGCUUUGAGAGAGGAGAUUCAGACGCUUACCAGCAAGCUCCGAGAACUGCAAGAAAUGAAGAAAGAAGAGAAAGAGGAUUGCCCGGAAGUUCUUCAUAAGGCCCAAGAGCUCCCAGCUCCCACUCCCAGCAGCAUACACUGCGAGCAAGACUGGCCGCCGGAGUCCAGUGAGGAGGGGCUCCCGUGGCCCCGCUCCCCCUGCUCUGAUGGGAGAAGAGACGCCGCGGCCAGGGUGCUGCAGGCCCAGUGGAAGGUGUACAAGCACAAGAAAAAAAAAGCUGUUCUGGAUGAGGCAGCUGUGGUGCUUCAGGCAGCUUUCAGGGGACAUCUGGCACGGACAAAGCUCUUAGCAAGCAAAGCAUGUGGCUCAGAGCUGCCCAGCAUGCCAGGCCUCCCAGACCAGGGUGUCCCCGGGGCCGAGCACCAGGAGCCAGCAGGGGGCUGCCAAAUAGUCGUCUUCCCUACUGUCCUUGUGCCCCAGAGCUCUCCCGUGCCCCGUGUUCCGAGCCCCAUCGCCCAGACCGAGGGCAGCCCUGCGCAGGAGGAGGCCAUCGUCAUCAUCCAGUCUGCUCUGCGGGCACACCUGGCCCGGGCCAGGCACAGCGCUACCGGUAAAAGAACCACCGCCGCAGCUUCUACGAAGAGGAUAUCGGCUUCAGCCACACACGGGGAUGCCUCCUCCCCACCCUUCCUCGCAGCUCCUCCUGCCCAAAAACAGUCAGUGAAGAAGCCGCUGGCGCUACAGGAUGCCACACCCUCAGGUGAGGCCUCAUCCCUGCUCUGCCGCAGCUGCCCGGAGCUGACGGGGAUGCCCCAGCAGGACCCUGCCUUUCUCUGGCUGUCAGUCCCUUCAUGUGCAAAGUAGAGAACAGGCUAGACAGCUCAAAAGCCACUCUGCACCCCCAAAUCUAUGCUGCUCUGCAUAGACUUGAGAUCCCGUGUGUUAUCCUGCAAUUAGAAACCCCUCAUUGACGCUUCCUGUAAAGGGAGGAUGAGUGCAGAGGCACAGUGUUGAGACACAGGACUGUCGGGAGAUGGAGAAGGGCGGCCUUGAGACCCUGUUGAGGAGUGUGGCGUGCAGGGCUAUGUCGCGUGGGUAGUGUUAGGUGAAGGGCUUUGCUGUGCUGAGUCCUUAGGUCUCCAGGGUGGAGUCAGGGAGGGAGGAGACAGAACAGCAAGGAAAACCACAAAGGAAGAGGCUCUUCUGAGCCCAAAGGAUGAGGGUGAUGAAGGCCGGGGGUGAAGGAAGGGUGAGGCCUGCCCGGGACCUACACGCCUUAAUGAGAAUGUCCCUUCAGGACGGGCCCAGGGAGGCGGCGGCCCCCCAGCACCACUCCAACCCCUCUCCCGCAGGGCCGCAGCCCGUGGCACCUCCACCUGGGGAUGACGUCAACUCCGAUGAUUCCGAUGAUAUUGUCAUCGCCCCAUCUCUGCCCACGAAGAAGACCUUUCCAGUCUAGGUCCCCGUCACUGUCUCCAUGACGUGAUGGCAGCACUGCUGAGGACACAGGAGCCACGACUGGAAAGAUAAUUUGUCGUGUUAGGAGAAGAAUGAUACCUACUUAACAUCUCAACAUCGGCGUCGUCUCUCUGUGCUUUUGCUUGUGGAAGGAAACCCAAAUGCCUUUACUUUAUUCUCUGGGGAGGGCCAGCGGCUCGCAUCCCCCUCAUCUCCAGCUGCAGCUGGGAUGGUGGGUUUUCAUUGCCGACAGACACGUCUGCCGUGAGCUCGCGGACACCAGGGAGCCCUGUAGUGACAUGUUAUCUGACCACCUCGCCACCUGCCCACGACCUUGACCAUGAGGAGCUGCUGUCCGCAGCUAGCGCCGACACCACGCCCCCUCUUCCUGGUGACACCCAUGACAACCAGGAUUUGCUUCGAUCUCGGCCCAGUAGGCCAGGCAGAGGCGCCCCGCUGUGCCUUAGGAAGGUGUGAGACCGGCUUCCCCCAUCCCCACAGCAAAACACGACAUGUCCCAAGCCAGUGAGGAGCUAAAGACACCCAGGUCCCCAAAUGAGCCUACUCCAUGCCCCACCUGCCCACACCAUCCUUUCCCGUCACCCUCGCUACCCCCUGGAACACCGCCCUCCAGAGCUGCCCUUCCCAGGAAGGAGUUUGGUUGGAUUCUGUCACUGUGGAGACAAAGUCUUUUCUUUAAUUCCAAAUUAUAAUCACAAAAGCAGCAUCACACUUGCUUUUGAGAACAUCAGGGUGAUGUCUGUUCCCAA